UGCGUAGGUGGCGCCGUAAGUGGGGUGUGAAAUCCCGGGGCUUAACCCCGGGACUGCAUUCCAUACUGCGGUGCUUGAGGACUGGAGAGGAGACUGGAAUUUACGGUGUAGCAGUGAAAUGCGUAGAGAUCGUAAGGAAGACCAGUGGCGAAGGCGGGUCUCUGGACAGUUCCUGACACUGAGGCACGAAGGCCAGGGGAAGGCAAACG
RNAcentral lists this ribosomal RNA (209 nucleotides) under uncultured bacterium. Its description in RNAcentral is "partial 16S ribosomal RNA". It matches the Rfam family "Bacterial small subunit ribosomal RNA", at positions 568 to 774 of the family's 1533-position model. The record is from RNAcentral.